RNAcentral lists this long non-coding RNA (1049 nucleotides) under Parus major (Great Tit). Its description in RNAcentral is "lncRNA (ENSPMJG00000002281.1)". Lineage: Eukaryota; Metazoa; Chordata; Aves; Passeriformes; Paridae. The record is from RNAcentral.
UGGGGGGGUCCAGGUGCCCCCCCAGGUGUCCCCUGUGACCCCGCCCUGCUCCCCCCAGUUCUGCCAGCUCGGGAACUUCUCCAUCCACGUGGCCCUGCGGAACCUGCGCCCCGCAGGCUCCAAGACACGGAAGAUCCCGUACCCCACCCGCAACCCCUUCACGUGGCUGUUCCUGCUCGUGUCCUGCCCCAACUACACCUACGAGGUCGGGUCCUGGAUCGGUUUCACCAUCAUGACCCAGUGUCUGCCCGUGGCCCUGUUCUCGCUGGUGGGCUUCGUGCAGAUGGCGAUCUGGGCGCAGGGCAAGCACCGCAGCUACCUCCGGGAAUUCCGGGAUUACCCUCCCCUGCGCUCGCCCAUCAUCCCCUUCCUGCUGUGACACCCGGGCCACCGGGGCCACCUGCUGUCCCCUCCCUGCUGGGACACCGGGGCCACCUGCUGUCACCUCCCUGCUGGGACACCUGGGUCACCCCCUGUCCCCUUCCUGCUGUGACACCGGGGCCACCCACUGUCCCCUCCCUGCUGGGACACCGGGGCCACCUGCUGUCCCCUCCCUGCUGGGACACCCGGGUCACCUGGGACACCCCUCGUCCCUGCUGUGACACCCGGGCCACCCGCUGUCCCCUUCCUGCUGUGACACCAGGGCCACCUGCUGUCCCCUCCCUGCUGUGACACCUGGGUCACCCCCUGUCCCUGCUGUAACACCCGGGUCAGCCCCUGUCCCCUCCCUGCUGACACCCAGGUCAGCCCCUGUCCCCUCCCUGCUGUCACACCAGGGACAGCCCUUGGGGACACUGGGAACACCCUGAUCUGUCCCCGUCAGUCCUGCCCUGAGCCUUGGGGACAGCGUGGGGACAGGGGAUACAGGCCCGUUGUCACCCCGGUGCUCACAGCAGGACACACAUUGGGGAAUGUGGCCCCUCUGUCCCUUGUCACCUCCAGGGUGCCACCCCCGUGUCCCCUCCCCGGUGGCAGUGUCCCCAGCAGGGCUGGCCCAGACCCAGGGACAGCAGUGGUGACCAAAGCCACCCCUGGUGACAAUGUGCUGU